CCUUUGUACUGGUCUAAGUACAAAGAAGGUGUUGUAGGCAAAUCCGCAACAUGUAACUUUGAAGUAUGAUAGAUAGGGGUAACCCGAAGUAUCUGACACUUUGCUUCCAAGAAAAGUUUCUAAAGAUAUAAUUAUGGACCCGUACCGAGAACGAACACACGUGGUCAAGGAGAAUAUCCUCAGGCAAGCGAGAAAACUAUAGUUAAGGAACUCGGCAAAUUAGCCCUGUAAGUUCGCGAGAAGGGGCGCCUAGGGCAACCUAGGCCCAGUGAAGAGGCACGAACGACUGUUUAUCAAAAACACAGCUCUCUGCUAACUCGUAAGAGGAUGUAUAGGGGGUGACGCCUGCCCAGUGCUCCAAGGUUAAGAGGAGGGGUUAGCCAGCAAGUAAUUGUUGGUGAAGCUCUGAAUUGAAGCCCGAGUGAACGGCGGCCGUAACUAUAACGGUCCAAAGGUAGCAAAAUUCCUUGUCAGGUAAGUUCUGACCCGCAUGAAAGGCGUAACGAUUCGUGCACUGUCUCAACUAUAGACUCGGUGAAAUCUUAGUACCGGUGAAGAUGCCGGUUACCCGCAACUAGACGGAAAGACCCCGUGGAGCUUUACUGCAACUUGAUAUUGAGUUUUUCUCUGUUUUGUACAGGAUAGGUGGGAGACCGCAAGGCGUGGCUAUGAGGCUAGGACGUCAGUUCUAGCGGAGCCUCUGGUGGGAUACCACUCUGAGCAGCGGAGAAUUCUAACUUGUUGGUUUACAGCCAAAAGGACAGUGUCUGGUGGGUAGUUUGACUGGGGUGGUCGCCUCCUAAAAAGUAACGGAGGUGUUCAUAAGGUAUCCUCAAUAGGUAUAGAAAUCCUAUGGUGAGUGCAAAGGCAAAAGGAUGCUUAACUGUGAGACUUACAAGUCGAACAGAUACGAAAGUAGGACUUAGUGAUCCGGCGGUUACCUAGUGUAGGGCCGUCGCUAAACGGACAAAAGUUACCCCGGGGAUAACAGGCUAAUACUUCCCAAGAGACCACAUCGACGGAAGUGUUUGGCACCUCGAUGUCGACUCAUCGCAUCCUGGAGGUGAAGAAGCUUCCAAGGGUUGGGCUGUUCGCCCAUUAAAGCGGUACGUGAGUUGGGUUUAGAACGUCGUGAGACAGUUUGGUCCCUAUCUGUUGUGGGCGUAGGAAAUUUACGGAGAUCUGCUCCUAGUACGAGAGGACCGGAGUGGACUGACCAAUGGUGUACCAGUUGUCAUGUCAAUGGCACGGCUGGAUAGCUAUGUCAGGAAUGGAUAAGCACUGAAAGCAUCUAAGUACGAAGCCAACUUCAAGAUAAGAUUUCCCAUCCGUGAGGAGUAAGAUACCUUCUAGACCAGGAGGUUGAUAGGUGGAAAAUGCAAGUAUAGUAAUAUAUUUAGUUAAUCCAUACUAAUUUAUCGAGGAC
This 1426-nucleotide ribosomal RNA is filed under the name metagenome. Its description in RNAcentral is "bacterial LSU rRNA". It matches the Rfam family "Bacterial large subunit ribosomal RNA", at positions 1499 to 2925 of the family's 2925-position model. The record is from RNAcentral.